GGGCCCGCACAAGCGGUGGAGCAUGUGGUUUAAUUCGAUGCAACGCGAAGAACCUUACCAGGCCUUGACAUCCUCGGAACUUUCUAGAGAUAGAUUGGUGCCUUCGGGAACCGAGUGACAGGUGCUGCAUGGCUGUCGUCAGCUCGUGUCGUGAGAUGUUGGGUUAAGUCCCGUAACGAGCGCAACCCACAUCUUUAGUUGCCAGCAGUUCGGCUGGGCACUCUAGCGAGACUGCCGGUGAUAAGCCGGAGGAAGGCGGGGAUGACGUCAAGUCCUCAUGGCCCUUAUGGGCUGGGCUACACACGUGCUACAAUGGCAGUGACAGAGGGACGCUACCAGGUGACUGGAUGCAAA
This 354-nucleotide ribosomal RNA is filed under the name uncultured bacterium. Its description in RNAcentral is "bacterial SSU rRNA". It matches the Rfam family "Bacterial small subunit ribosomal RNA", at positions 917 to 1271 of the family's 1533-position model. The record is from RNAcentral.